Molecule: transfer RNA, 62 nt
Filed under: Mus musculus (house mouse)
Lineage: Eukaryota; Metazoa; Chordata; Mammalia; Rodentia; Muridae
Description: tRNA-Ser
Source: RNAcentral
GAUGGCUCAGUGGUUAAGAGCACUGACUGCUCUUCCAGAGGUCCUGAGUUCAAUACCCAGCA